GUCUGACCGAGCAACGCCGCGUGAGUGAAGAAGGUUUUCGGAUCGUAAAACUCUGUUGGUAGAGAAGAACGUUGGUGAGAGUGGAAAGCUCAUCAAGUGACGGUAACUACCCAGAAAGGGACGGCUAACUACGUGCCAGCGAGCCGCGGUAAUA
RNAcentral lists this ribosomal RNA (154 nucleotides) under Lactococcus sp. 2- HHL(2011). RNAcentral describes it as "partial 16S ribosomal RNA". It matches the Rfam family "Bacterial small subunit ribosomal RNA", at positions 381 to 525 of the family's 1533-position model. The record is from RNAcentral. Lineage: Bacteria; Bacillati; Bacillota; Bacilli; Lactobacillales; Streptococcaceae.